RNAcentral lists this ribosomal RNA (524 nucleotides) under uncultured bacterium. Its description in RNAcentral is "bacterial SSU rRNA". It matches the Rfam family "Bacterial small subunit ribosomal RNA", at positions 28 to 570 of the family's 1533-position model. The record is from RNAcentral.
GAUAAACGCUGGCGGCGUGCUUCAGGCAUGCAAGUCGAACGGUUCACAGGACUUCGGUCCUGUGGAUAGUGGCGGACGGGUGAGUAACACGUAAGCAACCUGCCCGGAAGUGGGGAAUAACCCGCCGAAAGGCGAGCUAAUUCCGCAUGUGAUGGCUCUUCCCUGGAGGGGUCAUUAAAGGCGAAAGUCGCUUCCGGAGGGGCUUGCGGCCGAUUAGCUAGUUGGUGGGGUAACGGCCUACCAAGGCGACGAUCGGUAGCUGGUCUGAGAGGACGGACAGCCACACGGGGACUGAGAUACGGCCCCGACUCCUACGGGAGGCAGCAGCUAGGGAUCUUGGGAAUGGGCGAAAGCCUGACCCAGCAACGCCGCGUGGGCGAUGAAGGCCUUAGGGUCGUAAAGCCCUUUUGCAAGGGACGAUGAUGACGGUACCUUGCGAAUAAGCCACGGCUAACUACGUGUCAGCAGCCGCGGUAAUACGUAGGUGGCAAGCGUUGUCCGGAUUUACUGGGCGUAAAGGGCGU